Molecule: ribosomal RNA, 253 nt
Filed under: uncultured bacterium
Lineage: Bacteria
Description: partial 16S ribosomal RNA
Rfam family: Bacterial small subunit ribosomal RNA
Source: RNAcentral
UACGGAGGGGACUAGCGUUGUUCGGAAUUACUGGGCGUAAAGCGCACGUAGGCGGAUUUGUAAGUCAGGGGUGAAAUCCCGGGGCUCAACCUCGGAACUGCCUUUGAUACUGCAAAUCUCGAGUCCGGAAGAGGUGAGUGGAAUUCCUAGUGUAGAGGUGAAAUUCGUAGAUAUCCGGAGGAACACCGGUGGCGAAGGCGGCUUCCUGGACCGACACUGACGCUGAGGCGCGAAAGCGUGGGGAGCAAACAGG